Molecule: ribosomal RNA, 398 nt
Filed under: Tetraselmis cordiformis
Lineage: Eukaryota; Viridiplantae; Chlorophyta; Chlorodendrophyceae; Chlorodendrales; Chlorodendraceae
Description: partial small subunit ribosomal RNA
Rfam family: Eukaryotic small subunit ribosomal RNA
Source: RNAcentral
GCUUGUCUCAAAGAUUAAGCCAUGCAUGUCUAAGUAUAAGCGACUAUACUGUGAAACUGCGAAUGGCUCAUUAAAUCAGUUAUGGUUUAUUUGAUGGUACCUACUACUUGGAUAACCGUAGUAAUUCUAGAGCUAAUACAUGCAGGAAGACCCGACUCACGAAGGGUUGUAUUUAUUAGAUUUAAGGCCAACCGAGCUUGCUCGUCUCUUGGUGAAUCAUGAUAACUUCACGAAUCGCAUGGCCUCGCGCCGGCGAUAUUUCAUUCAAAUUUCUGCCCUAUCAAUUGGCGAUGGUAGGAUAGAGGCCUACCAUGGUGUUAACGGGUGACGGGGGAUUAGGGUUCGAUUCCGGAGAGGCAGCCUGAGAAACGGCUACCACAUCCAAGGAAGGCAGCAGG